This is a long non-coding RNA of Mercenaria mercenaria, 1862 nucleotides long. RefSeq lists it as uncharacterized. The record is from RefSeq and is a predicted model, not a curated record. The transcript has 4 exons. Lineage: Eukaryota; Metazoa; Mollusca; Bivalvia; Venerida; Veneridae.
CAGUGCUGGGAACAAGCUGCACAGGACAUACAGAUUGCACGGAUCAUGUUCAAAAUUCAGAGUGUUCAGCUGCUGAUGAAUGCUCUUGUGCAACAAAUUAUAUCCAAGAUGGUAAUGUUUGCGCCAAAGCAUUAGGAGAAACAUGCUCGGCUGGCGAAUGUGUGACUAACGCAGAAUGUGACACGACAUGCAAAUGCUCGGAUGGAUUCAUUGAUACAAACGGGCUUUGUGCUGCUCCAUCUUCCGCAAUCACAACGAGACUGUCAGCCAGUGUAGCUGCAAUGUCGAUUUUAGGCAUUGUCAUUCGAACUAUUUUCUAAGUGUGUGCAUGCAACAAAAUAUCCAACGAAAGAUAUAUAGCCGGACUGACACAUAUAUCAUCUUCACUUUCAACUUUACCUUAUUAUAGAUAUUUUCUGUUUUUAAACAAUUAUAUCCCAACCUACUUAUCAUGAAUCCAAACUAAAUAAAUACUAAGUCUUGUUAAAAUCAGGGUUUGGUCACACUUGGAUAUUUCUUUCGUUACUUGAAAUACGGAUAAAGACAAAUCCUUUAAAUAGAUUUAGAAUGUUAUGCUUGAACACAAUUCAAACCUGUAAUAAAGUGUACCUGUCUUACAAAUGAACAGUUUUCUUCAAUCUGCACUUGUUAUAAAUCAUUACAUGAAUAGCAAAAAGUCAAAUGUUACAAUAAUAAUAAUAAUACAACAUAAAGCAUAACAACAACAGUAUGGACAGUGAUAUUAAGUUUGAAUAAAUUUUCCUACAUGCAUUAGAAGGUGUGGCUAUAUGGCUAUUCUUAAAAAAAGACAGACAUUUUAUGUAUGUCCAUCGUGACUUUCUUGAUGUGUUUUCAAUCGUAUCGUAGCAAUAUUUACUACAAAUUAUUGUACAAUACUAUCAUACUAUUUAUUAUUGACAACCUUCUUGCAUGUCAGUAAACGAAGUUUUACUUUCUCUCUGUCAGUAAUUUACAAUUAUAUCAAUAAUAGAAAACAUGUUAUUAAUUUUGAUUCAUAAUUCGAACGUAUAUGCGAUCACCAUAUGGCUAUUUCCUUACGAUACAGAGUUUUCAUUGUAUGCCUAUCGUGUUUUUGCUUGCUGUGUUUUCAGAAGUGACAUAUAAGCGACUGUGUGUAUCUUAAAAUAUCAACUGUUUUGAUUCUAAAUCAGCAGUUUUAGUUAGCAUGUGGAUAUGUUUCAACGAAUGGCAUUAGAAUUAUGUUAUUAAACAUACUUAGAAGAAAGACUGAUUGAUGUGUAUGAUUUAUUGGUUGGAACAGGCUAGUAGACAGUACUGAGUAAUGUCUCAAAUAAUAUGCAUGCAGAUAAAUACAAAAACGCACCAGGCAGUAUGGUUUGAAAAUUUGAUAUAGGAUCUUUGAACACUUUUUUGAUACGAAGAUAGGUACAACUUUUUAUUUAAAUUCCAUUCCUUAUUUUACUUAAUUUCUGGAUUGAAUUUUCAUAAUAUUUGCAUAUCGGUUUAACAAUUAUGCAUAUGAGAUAUUAUUCCUGUCGAAAGCCAUAUGAGUAUGACUAAAUGGUAUUGCUUAUUUAGGAUUACAUAUUCCCUUUUUAUGUGUCGAGUGAAAUGCAAACUUCAGAUGUUGUGUAAUUAAAAAGAACUACAACUUACUACUAUGUAUAAGCAUUAUUUUGACUAUUAAUAAAAUAGGUACUUAUUACACGUAUUAUAUACAUCUAUGUUCAAAUAUUCUCGGACAAUGAAUGUUACAAAUGCAGUCAUACAUUUAAUGCUUAUAUUUAUAUAUCAUUAUUUUAUAUCAGCUGUUUGUUUCUUCAAAGUAUAUCUAUGUCAGCUAUUCAAAAACAUUUUGGUAAUAUAUGUAAAAGAUAGAA